UAAUUAGUUUUUUAAUUGAAGGCUUGUAUGAAUGGUUGGACAAAGAAGAGUCUGUUUUUAUUUUUAUUUUUGAAUUUAACAUUUAAGUGAAAAGGCUUAAAUAUUUUUAAGGGACGAUAAGACCCUAUAAAUCUUUAUAUUAUAUCAAAUUUUUAUUAAUUAAUAAGUAUAUAAAAUAAAAAAGUGGUGUAUAUUGUGUUGGGGUGAUAAGAAUAUAAUAAUUAACUGUUCUAGUAUAAAAACAAAAUUAUCUGACAAUAAUUAAUAGAUCCUUUUUUAAGAUUAAAAGUUUAAGUUACUUUAGGGAUAACAGCGUUAUUUUUUUUAAGAGUUCUUAUCGAAAAAAAAGUUUGCGACCUCGAUGUUGAAUUAAAAAUUUCUUUAUGGUGUAGCUGCUAUAAUAUGAAAGUCUGUUCGACUUUU
This 423-nucleotide ribosomal RNA is filed under the name Trapezionida evarne. RNAcentral's name for it is "Munida evarne partial large subunit ribosomal RNA". The stretch from base 306 to 423 matches the Rfam family "Bacterial large subunit ribosomal RNA", at positions 2473 to 2589 of the family's 2925-position model. The record is from RNAcentral. Lineage: Eukaryota; Metazoa; Arthropoda; Malacostraca; Decapoda; Munididae.